Molecule: ribosomal RNA, 253 nt
Filed under: uncultured bacterium
Lineage: Bacteria
Description: partial 16S ribosomal RNA
Rfam family: Bacterial small subunit ribosomal RNA
Source: RNAcentral
CACGUAGGGUGCGAGCGUUGUCCGGAAUUACUGGGCGUAAAGGGUUCGUAGGUGGCCACUUAAGUCAGACGUGAAAUCCCUCAGCUUAACUGGGGAACUGCGUCUGAUACUGAGUGGCUUGAGUGCAGGAGAGGAAUGCGGAAUUCCAGGUGUAGCGGUGAAAUGCGUAGAUAUCUGGAGGAACACCGGUGGCGAAGGCGGCAUCCUGGACCAACACUGACGCUGAGGAGCGAAAGCCAGGGGAGCAAACGGG